Molecule: transfer RNA, 86 nt
Filed under: Thermoplasmatales archaeon
Lineage: Archaea; Methanobacteriati; Thermoplasmatota; Thermoplasmata; Thermoplasmatales
Also listed under: 1 other name
Description: tRNA-Leu
Rfam family: tRNA
About the family: Transfer RNA (tRNA) molecules are approximately 80 nucleotides in length. Their secondary structure includes four short double-helical elements and three loops (D, anti-codon, and T loops). Further hydrogen bonds mediate the characteristic L-shaped molecular structure. tRNAs have two regions of fundamental functional importance: the anti-codon, which is responsible for specific mRNA codon recognition, and the 3' end, to which the tRNAs corresponding amino acid is attached (by aminoacyl-tRNA synthetases). tRNAs cope with the degeneracy of the genetic code in two manners: having more than one tRNA (with a specific anti-codon) for a particular amino acid; and 'wobble' base-pairing, i.e. permitting non-standard base-pairing at the 3rd anti-codon position.
Source: RNAcentral
GCGGGGGUAGCCGAGUUGGCCAAAGGCGCAGGACUUAAGAUUCUGUUCUUAGUGAUUCAGGGGUUCGAAUCCCUUCCCCCGCACCA